AUGGAGAUGAGUUGAAUGAUUGUCUUGAGAACUGUUGCAAAGGCCUUAAGACGUGCUGCUGAGGGAAAGGCUUCUGCUCAAGCUGAGGCAGCAUGGAAUAUGCUGGAGUUUAAAGAAACUUGGACGAAGUUCAGAUCGUGAAGUUUUGUAUUGGAGAAGCCACUUUAAAGCAUGUUGUUAUGAUUAUUAUUAUUGUUAAUCUGCGUGCUCUUGUAGGACUCUUUCUGUGCUGGUUUCUUAUUACUUUCUAGAGAAUGCCUGUUUUUCCAUUUUUC
Molecule: long non-coding RNA, 275 nt
Organism: Juglans regia (Persian walnut)
Lineage: Eukaryota; Viridiplantae; Streptophyta; Magnoliopsida; Fagales; Juglandaceae
Exons: 3
Source: RefSeq, a predicted model, not a curated record